AUUGUUGAGACGUGAGUUCGUGAGCCUUUGUUAUCGUUGUCGUAAUCUCCGCAUUAUCAACGUCGAGAGAACCUAUUGAUGUUCCACCUCUUUGUUCAUGUCUUCUUCCAACAUCAAUGUGUUUUGUUUCUCUAUAACCAAACUGCCAUGAUCUGGAAAGAAAAGAAAGGAGAAGAAUAAAAAUUGAGAAGAUCGUGAAAGAGAAAAAGAGAAGGAAGCGGAGAUGAAGGCGGAAACAUGACGGAGGAUAAAUCAUCACCACCACGAAGGAGAAACAGUGGGAAAGUGAUUCAUGUUCUUAACACUAAUCAGAAGUAUUAAGUGAAGAAGACCGAACCAGAUUGAAGCUUGGCGAAGCAAAGAAAGAAGAAGAAGAGAAAAGAGGGAGGAAGAACAGUUUCAAGAUGGGGUUUUGUAAGGAUCGUUCCAGUGGCAUCAGAGAGACUCAAGAACCCCUAAAUGACAGUUCGAGAUGGUUUGUUGAUGACAACGUUUGGAGCUUUUAAUGAAGUCCGAUCAUGCUGUAAAUUUGUGGAGUUAUUCAUGAUACUUCUAUCUACAUAUUCAACGGUGAGAUCACGUUUCUAACGGAGAUUUCAUGACUCAUGGAUUCAGUUCUUAGUCGAGGGAGAACCAAGUUAAAGCUUAUGAGCAUGUAGUUGUGGUAAAGGUUGAGAAAGGAGAAGUGAAUCUUCAUCUUCAAUUAGGCUAAGGUUAAUAAACGUGAGGAGUUAUGUGCAAUAUUUUAUUCAUGUGUAAAGUUUAAAGAAAACGUUUUGGCAAUAUUAGAUGAAUAAUAUGCCGUCUUGUCCUAUAAGGCAGGGCGGGUGUUACAAUAAUAAUCUCAUGAGAAUGAUCAUAGGCUUCAUUCUCUUGCUGGCUCUCAUUAGCAACAUCAUAUCGGUGUUACAAAACUUGAACCCGGCGAUGAAGUUUGAUCGCGAGAGAUAGACAAAGCUAGCAGAUUGAUCAAAGCACUCGUUUUUACUUUGCUUUUAUUUAUUUCUAUUUUCUUCCGAAAUUUUGAUGUAUAUAUGUGUGUGUAUGUAAGACCAAGAGGUAUGUCUU
This is a non-coding RNA of Arabidopsis thaliana (thale cress), 1068 nucleotides long. The record is from RefSeq. NCBI's taxonomy places the organism in Eukaryota, Viridiplantae, Streptophyta, Magnoliopsida, Brassicales, Brassicaceae.